GGAUUAGGCAUGCAAGUCGAACGAGGGAGUGUUUCGAAAGGGACACAAACCGAGUGGCGUAAGGGCGAGUAAUGCAUUGAUAACCUGCCUUUGAGAUGGGGAUAACAACGUCUCGCAAGAGACUUCCGAAAGGGUUGCUAAUACCCAAUAAGACUGUUGGUGCGGAGGUGCUGAGAGUCAAAGGUCUGGAGUGAAAGCUCCAUUUGCUCAGAGAGGGGUCAAUGUCCUAUCAGCUAGUUGGUAGGGUAAAGGCCUACCAAGGCGAAGACGGGUAGCCGGCCUGAGAGGGUGGUCGGCCGCAUUGGGACUGAGACACUGCCCAGACUCCUACGGGAGGCUGCAGUCGAGAAUCUUUCGCAAUGCCCGCAAGGGUGACGAAGCGACGCCGCGUGUGGGAAGAAGGCCUUCGGGUUGUAAACCACUGUCGGGAGUUAAGAAAGGUGUACGGGUAAAUAGUCCGUGCAUUUGACAAAAGCUCCGGAGGAAGCCACGGCUAACUCUGUGCCAGCAGCCGCGGUAAUACAGAGGUGGCAAGCGUUGUUCGGAAUUAUUGGGCGUAAAGAGCACGUAGGCGGCCCUGCAAGUCAGCUGUGAAAGCCUCCUGCUUAACGGGAGAAGUGCAGUUGAAACUACGGGGCUAGAGUGCGGAAGGGGAGAGUGGAACUUCUGGUGGAGCGGUGAAAUGCGUAGAUAUCAGAAGGAACACCGGCGGCGAAAGCGGCUCUCUGGUCCGUAACUGACGCUGAGGUGCGAAAGCCAGGGGAGCAAACGGGAUUAGAUACCCCGGUAGUCCUGGCCGUAAACGAUGGGCACUCGGUAGAGGGGUUUUGAAUAUCUCUCUGCCUGAGCUAACGCGUUAAGUGCCCCGCCUGGGGAGUACGGCCGCAAGGCUAAAACUCAAAAGAAUUGACGGGGGCUCGCACAAGCGGUGGAGCAUGUGGCUUAAUUCGAUGCAACACGAAGAACCUUACCGGGGCUCGACAUGACAGAAGUAGGAGUCCGAAAGGACAACCAACGGUAUCCAGUCCGUAGCUGUCACAGGUGUUGCAUGGCUGUCGUCAGCUCGUGUCGUGAGACGUUGGGUUAAGUCCCCUAACGAGCGAAACCCUUGUCUUUAGUUGCCAACGGGUCAAGCCGGGCACUCUAAAGAGACUGCUGUCGUUAAGACGGAGGAAGGUGGGGAUGACGUCAAGUCAUCAUGGCCCUUAUGUCCCGGGCUGCACACGUGCUACAAUGGUCGGUACAAAGGGAUGCUAAAUCGCAAGAUGGAGCGAAACCCAGAAAGCCGGUCCCAGUUCAGAUUGGAGGCUGAAACCCGCCUCCAUGAAGGAGGAAUCGCUAGUAAUCGCGGAUCAGCUAUGCCGCGGUGAAUAUGUUCCCGAGCCUUGUACACACCGCCCGUCAAGCCACCCAAGCAAGAUGCACCCGAAAUUGCUGACCCAACCCGCAAGGGAGGGAGGCGCCUAAGGUGUGUUUUGUGAGGAGGACUAAGUCGUAACAAGGUAGUCGUAGGAGAACCUGCGGCUGGAUCACCUCCUUUCUAAGGAGUAAAAAGACACAACAAAACCUCACGGUCACCAAGCCUUUGUCUUGCACGCACACUGCUUCUCUUUCCUUAUUCAUAACGAAUGUAGUAGUAAGAAUAAAUCAGAUACCGGGAGAAAGGAUUUUUUUCCGGUGUCUGAGACUGCUUCCGUAGUAGAGAGAAUAAAGUAAGGGAAAGUGUUGAGAGAAGGCCCAAAGAGAUCUUGGGCCUAUAGCUCAGAUGGUUCAGAGCAUUCCCCUGAUAUGGGAAAGGUCAGUGGUUCGAGUCCACUUAGGCCCACCACUUUCGUCAAGAGGUCUUGGAAGCAGGGGAUGUAGCUCAAUUGGAGAGCGCUGCCCUUGCAAGGCAGAGGUUGGCGGUUCGACCCCGCUCAUCUCCACCAGUUCUUCAGUCUUGCGAGAGACUGAGAGUGGGAUUUAUAGAAUACGAAAUAGUAGAAACAGAAGUUCUUUGACAAGUGAAUACUGAAACGGGUAACAAGAAAAGAGAUCCUCUUUAGAGUAAGAGAAGAGUAAGAGAAGAGUCAAGCGAAAGAAGGGUACAUGGUGGAUGUCUAGGCGCUCAGAGGCGAGGAAGGACGUGGAAGACUGCGAUAAGCUCCGGGGAGUUGUCAAACGAGCAUUGAUCCGGAGGUGUCCGAAUGGGGAAACCUGUCAGGGGUAAAUACCCUGACACCGGUAUCUGAAUCUAUAGGGUAUCGGGGCAAACCGAGAGAAGUGAAAUAUCUCAGUAACUCGAGA
RNAcentral lists this ribosomal RNA (2286 nucleotides) under Candidatus Anammoxiglobus propionicus. RNAcentral's name for it is "bacterial SSU rRNA". The stretch from base 1 to 1540 matches the Rfam family "Bacterial small subunit ribosomal RNA". Lineage: Bacteria; Pseudomonadati; Planctomycetota; Candidatus Brocadiia; Candidatus Brocadiales; Candidatus Brocadiaceae. The record is from RNAcentral.